AACAGACCUAAGACAGGGAAUUUUUACUCUGAUUAAUUGUCAAAAAUUGUGAAAACCUGGGUUUAAAUGUAUUUGGGUAAAGUGUAUGUAAACGUCUGACUUCAACUGUAUAUAAAUUCUGGAAAUGGAAUUCUAAGCAUCACUCAGAAAAGGCUCUGCGAACGUUUGUUUCCAUUAAUUUGCUAUGGGCUCGCGCUAGCUUAGCCAAUGUCCUUUUGCCAUUUUUCAGCCUUGGAUGAAUUUGGACUUGUUCUAUUGUCCAACCUAGUCUUAUCUCAUGCUUGCAUGGUGAUUGAGUUAGCUAGUGUUACUGUACUAUUUUUCAAUGGUUUCUGACAGUGGCUUUAGUAGGACUUGUGGAGUUGAGGAGGAUGGAUACAAUUUCUGUUAACUAAUGUUACCUACCUAACGUUAGCUUAACUUCAAUUUAAUGUGGCCAAGUUAGUGUAGCUAGCUAGCUAUGUUUCUAACUUUCUUUAUUUCUGUUCUUAAAUGCAGAGUCAAGGCCAGUGAAUGGACAGCUUUGUAAAGAUACCCUGAAUGAGUGGAACCUGGCCUCUUUCAUUACAAAGUUUGAUGUGGAAGAGAUGGAACAUGAAACGCUCUUGCUGUUGGAGGACUCGACUAUAGCCUGAAGUUCAAUGCAAAACACAAGGUGACAUCGCUUUAACACUUCUACCAGUGGUCCUCCCAACACCAGUCUACAAGAUAGGCAGGAAGACAUUCCGACCCAGCUUCAAUGAGAUCAGAACGUCCUUCCUUGAUUUG
Long non-coding RNA from Oncorhynchus tshawytscha (Chinook salmon), 768 nucleotides. RefSeq lists it as uncharacterized. The transcript has 3 exons. Lineage: Eukaryota; Metazoa; Chordata; Actinopteri; Salmoniformes; Salmonidae. The record is from RefSeq and is a predicted model, not a curated record.